UCAAAGAGUGCGUAAUAGCUCACUGGUCGAGUGAUCCUGCGCCGAAGAUUUCCGGGGCUAAAACUUACUACCGAAGCUACGGCAUCAGUAAUGAUGGGUAGGGGAGCUUCCCAUACGGGUUGAAGCAUGACCGUAAGGACAUGUGGACAGUAUGGGAGUGAGAAUGUUGGCAUGAGUAGCGAGAUGUGGGUGAGAAUCCCACAGGCCGUAAACCCAAGGUUUCCAGGGGAAGGUUCGUCCGCCCUGGGUUAGUCGGGACCUAAGCUGAGGCCGAAAGGCGUAGGUGAUGGACAACAGGUUGAUAUUCCUGUACUACCGAUAACCGUUUGAGAGAAGGGAUGACACAGUAGGAUAAGCUAAGCACACUGUUGGUUAUGUGUGCCCAAGCAUUGAGGCAGUCAAAGUAGGCAAAUCCGCUUUGAUAAUGCUGGGAUGUGAUGGGGAGCGAAAUUUAGUAGCGAAGUAGCUGAUUUCACACUGUCAAGAAAAGUCUCUAUCGAGGUUAAAGGUACCCGUACCGCAAACCGACACAGGUGGGUGAGGAGAGUAUCCUAAGGCCAGCGAGAGAACUGUUGUUAAGGAACUCGGCAAAAUGACCCCGUAACUUAGGGAUAAGGGGUGCCACCAUCAGGUGGCCGCAGAGAAUAGGCCCAAGCGACUGUUUACCAAAAACAUAGGUUUCUGCUAAGUCGCAAGACGAUGUAUAGGAGCUGACGCCUGCCCGGUGCUGGAAGGUUAAGGGGAUCUGUUAGAGCAAUCGAAGCAGUGAACUUAAGCCCCAGUAAACGGCGGCCGUAACUAUAACGGUCCUAAGGUAGCGAAAUUCCUUGUCGGGUAAGUUCCGACCCGCACGAAAGGCGUAACGAUUUGGGCACUGUCUCAACAACAGACUCGGUGAAAUUGUAAUUCCGGUGAAGAUGCCGGAUACCUGCGACAGGACGGAAAGACCCCAUGGAGCUUUACUGUAGCUUGACAUUGGGUCUUGGUACUACAUGUACAGGAUAGGU
This 1007-nucleotide ribosomal RNA is filed under the name Clostridioides difficile. RNAcentral's name for it is "partial 23S ribosomal RNA". It matches the Rfam family "Bacterial large subunit ribosomal RNA", at positions 1123 to 2148 of the family's 2925-position model. The record is from RNAcentral. Lineage: Bacteria; Bacillati; Bacillota; Clostridia; Peptostreptococcales; Peptostreptococcaceae.